RNAcentral lists this unclassified non-coding RNA (399 nucleotides) under Hevea brasiliensis (rubber tree). Lineage: Eukaryota; Viridiplantae; Streptophyta; Magnoliopsida; Malpighiales; Euphorbiaceae. The record is from RNAcentral.
GGGAGGUGGCAGAUCAUCUGCAAGAGAAACCAUUGGGAGAGUUGCAGCUGGAGCUGUUGCAAAGAAAAUUCUCAAGAUGAAAACAGGAACAGAGAUUCUGGCAUAUGUUUCUCAAGUGCAUAAAGUUGUACUUCCAGAUGGUGUUGUUGAUAAUGAGACUGUGACCUUAGACCAGAUAGAGAGUAAUAUAGUUAGGUGCCCAGAUCCAGAAUAUGCUCAGAAGAUGAUUGAUGCCAUUGAUACCAUCAGAGUGAAAGGCGAUUCUGUUGGUGGUGUUGUGACCUGCAUCGCGAGAAAUGUUCCACGUGGGCUUGGUUCUCCAGUCUUUGAUAAGCUUGAAGCUGAACUGGCAAAAGCUGUAAUGUCAUUGCCUGCGACAAAGGGAUUUGAGUUUGGCAG